This 207-nucleotide ribosomal RNA is filed under the name uncultured Leptotrichia sp. RNAcentral's name for it is "partial 16S ribosomal RNA". It matches the Rfam family "Bacterial small subunit ribosomal RNA", at positions 149 to 355 of the family's 1533-position model. The record is from RNAcentral. Lineage: Bacteria; Fusobacteriati; Fusobacteriota; Fusobacteriia; Fusobacteriales; Leptotrichiaceae.
GAGGGAAACUUCUGAUAAUACUGGAUAAGUUAGUAUAUCGCAUGAUAUGCAAAUGAAAGCUAACGGCACUAAAGGAGAGCUUUGCGUCCUAUUAGCUAGUUGGUAAGGUAAGAGCUUACCAAGGCGAUGAUAGGUAGCCGGCCUGAGAGGGUGGACGGCCACAAGGGGACUGAGAUACGGCCCUUACUCCUACGGGAGGCAGCAGCC